AAGUUAAAAAAAGAAAAAAGAAAAAGGAGUCUUCAUCUCUUUCAUUAGUUCUUCCACCGAAAAACCAAGCUAAAAACACCAUAGUUAAGCUUCACAUUCGGCAAAGCUAGGUUUUGUGCAUAAUUACAACAACCAGAUGAUGUAUGAUGAAAAAGAAAAAUUGACGAUUAGUCCCUGCUAAUUAAACCACUACGAUUUUGUCAGAUUUUGGACAUUUGGAACAUGUCAAUCGGAUCAGCAAGAAGCUCACACCUACCGUCUCUCGAUUCAAUAGACUUUUGAUGUUUCAUUUUGGUUACUUGUGGCAUGUACUUAGUUUGGAUGUUUGGUAUAUGCUAAGUUUGGUAUUUUGAAUGACAUUAUACAUAUGUUUUAGAUGGUGGCAUGAAAUGGCUAUAAUUUUUUAUUGUGUUAAGCAAAUGCUUAUGUUUGGUAUGGUUGAGUUGUGAUAUGAAAUGGUUGAGACAUGAAUUGUGUUUAAUAAAUUGUUGAUGCCAAUUAAGGUA
Molecule: long non-coding RNA, 506 nt
Organism: Gossypium raimondii (Peruvian cotton)
Lineage: Eukaryota; Viridiplantae; Streptophyta; Magnoliopsida; Malvales; Malvaceae
Exons: 3
Source: RefSeq, a predicted model, not a curated record